This 703-nucleotide ribosomal RNA is filed under the name Entomortierella beljakovae. Its description in RNAcentral is "eukaryotic LSU rRNA". It matches the Rfam family "Eukaryotic large subunit ribosomal RNA", at positions 92 to 649 of the family's 3401-position model. Lineage: Eukaryota; Fungi; Mortierellomycota; Mortierellomycetes; Mortierellales; Mortierellaceae. The record is from RNAcentral.
AGUGAAGCGGGAUGAAGCUCAAAUUUAAAAUCUGGCUGGUUUACUAGUCCGAAUUGUAGUUUAAAGAAGCGUUUUCGGUGGCAGCCUGGGUAUAAAUCCUUUGGAAUAGGGUAUCAUAGAGGGUGAGAAUCCCGUCUUUGACUCAGUGCAUGCUACUAUGUGAUACGUUUUCAAAGAGUCGAGUUGUUUGGGAAUGCAGCUCAAAAUGGGUGGUAAAUUUCAUCUAAAGCUAAAUAUUGGCGAGAGACCGAUAGCGAACAAGUACCGUGAGGGAAAGAUGAAAAGAACUUUGAAAAGAGAGUUAAAUAGUGCGUGAAAUUGUUGAAAGGGAAACGUUUGACACCAGUCAUGCGGGUGGAAAAUCAGUCUUUUGGGGUGGGGAGUGGUGGAAGUUCAGACCGUAAGGCUGGCUUUUGUUUCAUCUCUGCACUAAAGGAUGCACUUUUUCAUCUGCAGGUCAACAUCAGUUUCUUCUGCUGGACAAAACUCCGAGAGAAGGUAGCAGCUUUGGCUGUGUUAUAGCUCUGGAGCGAUACAGUGGAGGGGACUGAGGUUUUCGCAGUGUGUGCUCUCGGGCAAGGUCGACUGGGUGCUAUGUGAUCGUUCGGUGUACAAUGCAUGCAUUUUGCGCUGUGUCUUUUACAUACUCGCCUGAAUCGACUCUUCCACGCUUAGGAUGUUGACUUAAUGGUUUUAAACGACC